GAGGGUAUAACCCAGUGGUAGAAUGUGUGCUUAGCAUGCACAAGGUCCUAGGUUCGACCCCCACUACCUCCA
This 72-nucleotide transfer RNA is filed under the name Camelus bactrianus (Bactrian camel). It matches the Rfam family "tRNA". Rfam says of the family: Transfer RNA (tRNA) molecules are approximately 80 nucleotides in length. Their secondary structure includes four short double-helical elements and three loops (D, anti-codon, and T loops). RNAcentral also lists the same sequence under 1 other name. The record is from Rfam by way of RNAcentral. Lineage: Eukaryota; Metazoa; Chordata; Mammalia; Artiodactyla; Camelidae.